Molecule: microRNA precursor, 73 nt
Filed under: Myotis brandtii (Brandt's bat)
Lineage: Eukaryota; Metazoa; Chordata; Mammalia; Chiroptera; Vespertilionidae
Description: mir-9193 microRNA precursor family
Rfam family: mir-9193 microRNA precursor family
Source: Rfam by way of RNAcentral
UUUGUGGAGGAGUGUCCCUCAGCCCAGAUUGCGAGAGGGCUCAGGCCAAGCUGAGGGACCCUACUGGUGCAUG